This 445-nucleotide ribosomal RNA is filed under the name uncultured bacterium. RNAcentral's name for it is "partial 16S ribosomal RNA". It matches the Rfam family "Bacterial small subunit ribosomal RNA", at positions 339 to 795 of the family's 1533-position model. The record is from RNAcentral.
CUACGGGUGGCAGCAGUCGAGAAUCAUUCACCAUGGGGGAAAACCUGAUGGUGCGACGCCGCGUGGGGGAAUGAAGGUCUUCGGAUCGUAAACCCCUGUCAUGUGGGAGCAAAUAAAAAAGAUAGUACCACAAGAGGAAGAGACGGCUAACUCUGUGCCAGCAGCCGCGGUAAUACAGAGGUCUCAAGCGUUGUGCGGAAGCACUGGGGGUAAAGCGUGCGUAGGCGGUUUCGUAAGUGGUGGGUGAAAGGCGCGGGCUCAACCCGCGGACGGCACAUGAUACUGCGCUACUAGAGUAAAGGAGGGGGAACCGGAAUUCUCGGUGUAGCAGUGAAAUGCGUAGAUAUCGGGAGGAACACUCGUGGCGAAGGCGGGUUCCUGGACAUUAACUGACGCUGAGGCACGAAGGCCAGGGGAGCGAAAGGGAUUAGAUACCCGGGUAGUC